RNAcentral lists this ribosomal RNA (385 nucleotides) under uncultured bacterium. Its description in RNAcentral is "bacterial SSU rRNA". It matches the Rfam family "Bacterial small subunit ribosomal RNA", at positions 28 to 412 of the family's 1533-position model. The record is from RNAcentral.
GACGAACGCUGGCGGCGUGCUUAACACAUGCAAGUCGAGCGGUAAGGCCCUUUCGGGGGUACACGAGCGGCGAACGGGUGAGUAACACGUGGGUGACCUGCCCUCCAGCUCUGGGAUAAGCCUGGGAAACCGGGUCUAAUACCGGAUAUGACUCCAUGACGCAUGUUGUGGGGUGGAAAGCCUUGUGCGGCUGAGGAUGGGCCCGCGGCCUAUCAGCUUGUUGGUGGGGUGANGGCCUACCAAGGCGACGACGGGUAGCCGGCCUGAGAGGGCGACCGGCCACACUGGGACUGAGACACGGCCCAGACUCCUACGGGAGGCAGCAGUGGGGAAUCUUGCGCAAGUGGGCGAAAGCCUGACGCAGCGACGCCGCGUGAGGGAUGAC